AUGAACGCUAGCGACAGGCCUAACACAUGCAAGUCAGGGCAGCACAAGGAGCAAUCUGAGGUGGCGACCGGCGCACGGGUGAGUAACACGUAUGCAACCUGCCUGUAAGCGGGGAAUAACCCGUUGAAAGACGGACUAAUACCGCAUAAUACUAAAUUACUGCAUGGUAAUUUAUUUAAACAUUUAUGGCUUACAGAUGGGCAUGCGCAUGAUUAGCUAGUUGGAGAGGUAACGGCUCCCCAAGGCAACGAUCAUUAGGGGUUCUGAGAGGAAGGUCCCCCCACACUGGUACUGAGACACGGACCAGACUCCUACGGGAGGCAGCAGUGAGGAAUAUUGGUCAAUGGACGAGAGUCUGAACCAGCCAAGUCGCGUGCAGGAAGAAUGUCCUAUGGAUUGUAAACUGCUUUUGCAGGGGAAUAAAGUGCAUCACGUGUGAUGUUUUGUAUGUACUCUGCGAAUAAGGAUCGGCUAACUCCGUGCCAGCCGCGGC
RNAcentral lists this ribosomal RNA (493 nucleotides) under uncultured bacterium. Its description in RNAcentral is "bacterial SSU rRNA". It matches the Rfam family "Bacterial small subunit ribosomal RNA", at positions 29 to 518 of the family's 1533-position model. The record is from RNAcentral.